This 465-nucleotide ribosomal RNA is filed under the name uncultured bacterium. Its description in RNAcentral is "partial 16S ribosomal RNA". It matches the Rfam family "Bacterial small subunit ribosomal RNA", at positions 30 to 506 of the family's 1533-position model. The record is from RNAcentral.
UGAACGCUGGCGGCGUGCUUAACACAUGCAAGUCGACCGGAAAGGCCCAAGCUUGCUUGGGUACUCGAGUGGCGAACGGGUGAGUAACACGUGGGUGAUCUGCCCUGCACUUCGGGAUAAGCCUGGGAAACUGGGUCUAAUACCGGAUAGGACCACUUCUUGGAUGUUGUGGUGGAAAGUUUUUUCGGUGUGGGAUGAGCUCGCGGCCUAUCAGCUUGUUGGUGGGGUAAUGGCCUACCAAGGCGUCGACGGGUAGCCGGCCUGAGAGGGUGUACGGCCACAUUGGGACUGAGAUACGGCCCAGACUCCUACGGGAGGCAGCAGUGGGGAAUAUUGCACAAUGGGCGCAAGCCUGAUGCAGCGACGCCGCGUGGGGGAUGACGGCCUUCGGGUUGUAAACUCCUUUCGCUAGGGACGAAGCGUUUUUGUGACGGGACCUGGAGAAGAAGCACCGGCUAACUACGU